CCGUGGGAAGUUUGUUUAUUGCUCAGCUAGAGAGUUAGAAAGAGCUUCAAUGAUUUGGGUUUGGUGGUUUUGAAUGUUUGAGAUCCUGUUUUGCAUACUGAGUAUAUAUGCCUAAUUGCUGGAGGGUCCUGAUGAAUUAAAGGUUGUAUCAUCAACUGCAAUAGCUAUUGCAGUGGACUUGUAAUGAGCUGUGCUUGAUUGUAAAGCUUUAAUGGAUGUGGCUCUUUAAUUCUGAUUUCUUGACCAGUGUAUUCUUUCGUAUUGAUUGCCUUUAUUAGUGCAUGUAUGUUCAAAGAGUAGUCCUCCAUUGCUGAGCAGGUGAUCUUUGACUUCCGCUUUUCGGCUCUUUUGGCUAUUGGAGGUUCAUUGGCUGGUUCGGUUUUGUGCUUCCUAAAUGGUAGUGUUUACAUUGUUGAUGUGUAUAAAGUGUACUAGACAAGCUGCGUGAAAGGAAUUCACACUGGACAGAUGGUUCUUCAACUGGUUGAAGCCAUUGAUGUUUAUCUAGCUGGAACUGUCAUGCUGAUAUUUGGUAUGGGCUUGUAUGGAUUAUUUAUCAGUAUGUAUCUCCUGAUGUACCAACUUCUGUUGAUCGUGCUCUCAAGGGCUCUUCUUUGUUUGGGAUGUUUGCUCUAAAGGUAAGCUUCGAACUCCUGUACUGCAGGGACAUCAUUCACAUAUAUCAGUUUUUGCUUGUAUCGUACACCAGUAAGAAAAUGUUUUGUUAUAGUCAUGACCUGCUGCCACUAAGGCACUUUACAUGCUCUUGCUGAGAGCAUUAAAUACGGAGAAAAAUUGUUCGUCCAGGAGAUUUCAACUGAUCAACUCGUGGCAGGUGCUGCAGCUGUGGACGAUCUUCCCUUGUUGUGGACAGCCUUGCUUCGUGAUGAACUUCUUGUAUUUGGCCUAAUGCUUUCCUAUCUGAUAAACU
Molecule: long non-coding RNA, 931 nt
Organism: Eucalyptus grandis
Lineage: Eukaryota; Viridiplantae; Streptophyta; Magnoliopsida; Myrtales; Myrtaceae
Exons: 3
Source: RefSeq, a predicted model, not a curated record